RNAcentral lists this non-coding RNA (148 nucleotides) under Homo sapiens (human). Lineage: Eukaryota; Metazoa; Chordata; Mammalia; Primates; Hominidae. The record is from Rfam by way of RNAcentral.
GCCGGGCGUUGUGGUGCACACCUGUAGUCCUAGCUACUCAGGAGGCUGAGGCAGGAGGAUCACUUGAGCCCAGGAGACUGAGGCUGCAGUGAGCUAUGAUCAUGCCAUUGCACUCCAGCCUCGGUGACAGAGUGAGACCCUGUCUCAA